Molecule: unclassified non-coding RNA, 362 nt
Filed under: Ascomycota sp.
Lineage: Eukaryota; Fungi; Ascomycota
Description: partial contains small subunit ribosomal RNA, internal transcribed spacer 1, and 5.8S ribosomal RNA
Rfam family: Eukaryotic small subunit ribosomal RNA (bases 1-47)
Source: RNAcentral
AAAGUCGUAACAAGGUUUCCGUAGGUGAACCUGCGGAAGGAUCAUUACAAAUCCAUCCUGGGUGGAUGGAUGGGGACACGCUUGCGUGUUCCCAUUCAUUCCAUUCCAUUCACACCACGUUGAAUUGUUCCAGGGGAGAGUGUCGAUAUCGGUAUCGGUAUCGACUGACCCCCUGGUCGUGUUUAUCACAAACUGUUCCACCUCAGUUGCUUCAUGGAGGAAAGGGGGGAGGAGGGAAGGGAGGGAGCGAGAGAGCCGCCGCCGCGGCCUCUUCCCCUGCCAGCCCAACGACCACUUACCGCCACCAACAAAACAAAACACACAACCUAGAACAACUUAUAACAAUGGAUCUCUAGGCUCUU